Long non-coding RNA from Solanum dulcamara, 1030 nucleotides. RefSeq lists it as uncharacterized. The transcript has 3 exons. NCBI's taxonomy places the organism in Eukaryota, Viridiplantae, Streptophyta, Magnoliopsida, Solanales, Solanaceae. The record is from RefSeq and is a predicted model, not a curated record.
GCCAACCUAUUUUCGUGGUUCAGAUUGGUUUGUGGUUAUUUUGGUAUGCACCCAUCUUGGGUGCAUUCCUUUGCUAAAUGCUGGUGAUUCUAGUGGUUGGUUUUACCCCUGCCAUGGCUCUAAGAUCUAGCGCAAUGCUUAUUUUGCAUCAGUUACACAACCGUUGUAAUAGAUCGUUGAACUGUGGUAUGAUCUCAACACCCGUCACUACAGAGGUUCUAUGGCAAUAGAGUUUUAUAGUCGUCACAAUGGAGGAUUUAUGGCAACGGUUAAUUUAUGAAAAAAUAUUGUACUUGCAAUUUAUAUCCCAAAAAUAUAUUUUCCUCCAGUAAUUUAGAGUACCCGGUAAUUUUUUUCAUUCCAAUUAAUUAAAAAAGUACUAAAAGAAACUCUUUUUGAAUUUUCCCAAAAUCCAAAGGUCAUCUUCGUUAGUGAAGAGAACCAAAUCCUCUGAAAGAGAAACGAGCUUUGACAGUGAACUAUACGACGAGCUCCUAUGAAGACAGUCUUUUUCACCGGAGUUCUUCUACGAUCUCAAAAGUUUUUUCAAUGGUCUUCUCUGAUAGCAUUCUUCUUUCAAGUUUAUAUUCUUGGCCCAUCAGAAGUUUUCAGAUAGUUGUUGUUGUCCCUUGUUGAAUGAAGAGCUAAGUUUGGUCCGCAUCUCAUCUCCAAAGCCGCUGAAGAGUCGUCAAAAUUGCCGGAAAGUUGCCAAGAAAUCCACCGCCUGUUGUUCCUCGGUCGCUGGUGAUCUCACCAUGUAGGGAUCAGUGUUUCUCUUCAAUCUUCUCCACAUAUCUAGCUUCAAUUAGUUUGAAGAUUGCUUGUGGCGAGUUCCAAUGUUUCGGGAAUAACAUCCUUUUUAUUCUAUCUUAUGCUAUGUACAACAUUAAGACUUCUAUUAUCGCAUUUCUUGACACUUAUUUCGAGGGUGAGCUAGGGACAGGUCUUAGCCCCCGCCAAGUCUAUGACUAUAGGUAUGCUUGGACAUAUAUGGAUCAUGAAUAGAGGUUGUAAAUGACUAUUGUUUAUG